RNAcentral lists this ribosomal RNA (253 nucleotides) under uncultured bacterium. RNAcentral describes it as "partial 16S ribosomal RNA". It matches the Rfam family "Bacterial small subunit ribosomal RNA", at positions 524 to 776 of the family's 1533-position model. The record is from RNAcentral.
UACGUAGGGUGCGAGCGUUAAUCGGAAUUACUGGGCGUAAAGCGUGCGCAGGCGGUUCGUUAAGUUCGUCGUGAAAGCCCCGGGCUCAACCUGGGAAUGGCGAUGGAAACUGGCGGGCUGGAGUGCGGCAGAGGGGGGUGGAAUUCCGCGUGUAGCAGUGAAAUGCGUAGAGAUGCGGAGGAACACCGAUGGCGAAGGCAGCCCCCUGGGCUAGCACUGACGCUCAGGCACGAAAGCGUGAGGAGCAAACAGG